This 440-nucleotide ribosomal RNA is filed under the name uncultured bacterium. Its description in RNAcentral is "partial 16S ribosomal RNA". It matches the Rfam family "Bacterial small subunit ribosomal RNA", at positions 338 to 795 of the family's 1533-position model. The record is from RNAcentral.
CCUACGUGAGGCAGCAGUGGGGAAUAUUGCACAAUGGGGGAAACCCUGAUGCAGCGACGCCGCGUGAGCGAAGAAGUAUUUCGGUAUGUAAAGCUCGAUCAGCAGGGAAGAAAAUGACGGUACCUGAGUAAGAAGCUCCGGCUAAAGACGUGCCAGCAGCCGCGGUAAUACGUAUGGAGCAAGCGUGAUCCGGAUUUACUGGGCGUAAAGGGAGCGUAGGCGGCCUGCCAAGUCUGAUGUGAAAUACCGGGGCUCAACCCCGGGGCUGCAUUGGAAACUGGCAGGCUGGAUUGCCGGAGAGGCAGGCGUAAUUCCUAGUGUAGCGGUGAAAUGCGUAGAUAUUAGGAGGUACACCAGUGGCGAAGGCGGCCUGCUGGACGGUGACUGCCUCUGAGGCUCGACCGCGUGGGGAGCACACAGGAUUAGCUACCCUUGUAGUC